RNAcentral lists this ribosomal RNA (789 nucleotides) under uncultured bacterium. RNAcentral's name for it is "bacterial SSU rRNA". It matches the Rfam family "Bacterial small subunit ribosomal RNA", at positions 79 to 862 of the family's 1533-position model. The record is from RNAcentral.
CUUGCUCUGCCGGCGACCGGCGCACGGGUGAGUAACACGUAUGCAACCUGCCCUCCGCAGGGGGAUAACCCGGAGAAAUCCGGACUAAUACCGCGUGGUACACUUGUGGGGCAUCCCACGGGUGUUAAAAGGAAGUGAUUCCGGCGGAGGAUGGGCAUGCGGCGCAUUAGCUGGUUGGCGGGGUAACGGCCCACCAAGGCGACGAUGCGUAGGGGUUCUGAGAGGAAGGUCCCCCACACUGGUACUGAGACACGGACCAGACUCCUACGGGAGGCAGCAGUGAGGAAUAUUGGUCAAUGGGCGGGAGCCUGAACCAGCCAAGUCGCGUGAGGGAAGACGGUCCUAUGGAUUGUAAACCUCUUUAGGCGGGGAGCAAUGCCGGGCACGCGUGCCCGGAGGGAGAGUACCCGCAGAAUAAGCAUCGGCUAACUCCGUGCCAGCAGCCGCGGUAAUACGGAGGAUGCGAGCGUUAUCCGGAUUUAUUGGGUUUAAAGGGUGCGUAGGCGGAUUUUUAAGUCAGCGGUAAAAUGUCCGGGCUCAACCCGGGCCGGCCGUUGAAACUGGGGAUCUUGAGUGGGCGAGAAGUAUGCGGAAUGCGUGGUGUAGCGGUGAAAUGCAUAGAUAUCACGCAGAACUCCGAUUGCGAAGGCAGCAUACCGGCGCCCGACUGACGCUGAGGCACGAAAGCGUGGGGAUCGAACAGGAUUAGAUACCCUGGUAGUCCACGCAGUANACGAUGAAUGCUAGUUGUCCGGUUCUUUGGGACUGGGUGACACAGCGNAAGCGUUA